AUUAUAUCAAGUGUCUUGUAUAAAUGCCAUGUGUAUUUAUUAUGUUAAUUUUAAGUGGUUGUUCAUAUGUAUAAAGCUGUACAAAGUGUAUAGAGUGUUGGUCAUGUGACCUGCAGUCAUGUGACAUACCCAGAGUUCCAAGGGUACAGGUACCCCAGGCAACUAGCAACCAAUGGCCUUUAGUCCAGCCCCCUAGUAUAUAAGGGGCUGUAGUCUCCAGAUUCUCUCUCUUAAUUCAUGGACCUAAAAGGAAGCACAAAGUCCUGUAUACUGCAAAUUCAUCUCCAGCAGCCACUUCUAAACCGGGAGUCUAGAAUCUGGUACCAGCUUGAAGAAGCGCCGUUUCCGGCGUGAAACAGCCGGUCCUGGUGUACGCCCCCUGCCUCUCUCCAUUCACCUGCUUCUGCUACCUGGAAUGCUGCAAUAAAGCUCCGUUACCAUUGUUGUUGGUGUAUGGAUUCUGAAGUCACAGUGGGCGCUAAAAGAAGGCAAAGAUGUAAUCAAUGUGGGGAGUGACCUGCACAUCGGAGUCGGUGGGGCAAUACCGCACGGAUUUUGACAGAGAAUGUGUGUGCCUUAUGGCUGGUUUGAUAUACUAAUUUAAAAUAAAAGCUGUGGCCGACCUCUACCCAC
Long non-coding RNA from Hyla sarda, 633 nucleotides. RefSeq lists it as uncharacterized. The transcript is spliced from 3 exons. The record is from RefSeq and is a predicted model, not a curated record. NCBI's taxonomy places the organism in Eukaryota, Metazoa, Chordata, Amphibia, Anura, Hylidae.